Molecule: long non-coding RNA, 278 nt
Filed under: Elaeis guineensis (African oil palm)
Lineage: Eukaryota; Viridiplantae; Streptophyta; Magnoliopsida; Arecales; Arecaceae
Description: long non-coding RNA (EGUI_LNC059939)
Source: RNAcentral
CCUUUUUCUAUUUUCCUGCAAAAAAAAAAAACUUGAAUCAUACAUUAGGGUUUGCACUGGUAUAUGCAAGGUAGAAGAUCUCUCUAUCCUGACCUAGUUAAACCCAAUCUUGAGAUUGAACGGUUGAUUCAUAUUAAACCUGAAAAUCAGAUGGCUGGAGAUCCUAGAGAACCACCUAGGCAGAUGAAGGAAUAUUUUAUUCCUUCCAUUUAUAACCCAUCAACUUGUAUCCACUUACCUGAUAUCCCUGCAAGCCACUAUGAGAUCAAGUCGACCAC